AUGCGAACAAGUUCUCGCUGAGUUGAUCUGCAGUGAUCAGGUCAGGCUAUACAUUCGCUAAAUUAAAAUCCAUGCAACACAUUUAGCAGAUUUCUUACUAUAAUUCUGUUUUUGUAUUUGCUGGUAACAAGC
Small nucleolar RNA from Protopterus annectens (West African lungfish), 132 nucleotides. RefSeq annotates it as small nucleolar RNA SNORA72. The record is from RefSeq and is a predicted model, not a curated record. NCBI's taxonomy places the organism in Eukaryota, Metazoa, Chordata, Ceratodontiformes, Protopteridae. The transcript has a single exon.